GACGAACGCUGGCGGCGUGCCUAACACAUGCAAGUCGAGCGGGGAUUUAAGUGGAAGUUCUUCGGAAUGGAGAUUUAAAUUCUAGCGGCGGACGGGUGAGUAACGCGUGAACAAUCUGUCCCGGACAGGGGGAUAACACUUGGAAACGGGUGCUAAUACCGCAUAAGACCACGGCCUCGCAUGGGGCUGAGGUAAAAGGAGCAAUCCGGUUCGGGGUGAGUUCGCGUCCGAUUAGCUAGUUGGUGAGGUAACGGCCCACCAAGGCGACGAUCGGUAGCCGGCCUGAGAGGGUGAACGGCCACAUUGGAACUGAGAGACGGUCCAAACGCCUACGGGAGGCAGCAGUGGGGAAUAUUGGGCAAUGGGCGAAAGCCUGACCCAGCAACGCCGCGUGAGGGAAGAAGGUUUUCGGAUUGUAAACCUCUGUCCUAUGGGACGAAGGAAGUGACGGUACCAUAGGAGGAAGCCCCGGCUAACUACGUG
Molecule: ribosomal RNA, 483 nt
Filed under: uncultured bacterium
Lineage: Bacteria
Description: partial 16S ribosomal RNA
Rfam family: Bacterial small subunit ribosomal RNA
Source: RNAcentral